This is a long non-coding RNA of Poeciliopsis prolifica (blackstripe livebearer), 213 nucleotides long. RefSeq lists it as uncharacterized. NCBI's taxonomy places the organism in Eukaryota, Metazoa, Chordata, Actinopteri, Cyprinodontiformes, Poeciliidae. The transcript has 3 exons. The record is from RefSeq and is a predicted model, not a curated record.
UCUCUGCCUGAUCAUGUGACUGGAGGCUCUUCAGACCCAGGAUGGUUUUCAGGUCCAGAGAUAAAGAGAUGAGCUCAUUGAUUGUGGCUGAAGGUAGAACACCUGGGACCUGACACAAAACGAGAAAACCCCUGCUGGAACCGCUCUCUGAACUCUGUGUACUCCGGGCAUUUGUGAAAAGGUCCUUUCUCUGACAGCAGCCAGUCCAGCUGA